UUUGUUUUCCUUUUUGCACUUUAAUUUACUUCAUGUCUUGUCUCUAAGUGCUUGACUGUUGAGAAGCAUUGAAGCCGCUACCACAAGCUUAUCAAUUCACCACCUGCUGUCUAGUUUCUUCAUAAGAAACACGCCAAUAGAAACACUGCAACACGGAAAGAAACAAGCGGACAGCAAAAGGUUGAAGCUUUGAAAAACACAACAAAAGGAGAGCAUGCACGUUUACAGAUGACGCGUCUCCAGUUCAGCUGUGUGCAGUAAGCCCCCAUAACAGUGGCCCAUGAUAAAGCCAGCCCCUCCCAUUUCAUUUCGUAUCGCCGGCCAGUUGCUGGAAGUGGACGAUGAGUACUCGGGUCCACAAUAGUUUUGCAUUCAGCACCACAUAACUUUUCAUUUGUAUUCAGGUGAAGAGUCCUGGUUAGAAUUGGAUUUGUGAAAUAGAUCAGUGCCUUGCCAUAAAAUUGCAACAAAUAAUAAAUGGAGCCACACCUAACCUGAGGUGAUGUGCUAACGUCACAGCGCAGACCUUUCUGUAGUCAAGUCAAGUGGGUGCAGAGUUUGCUCACCAAAUCGAAGUUCUCC
This 582-nucleotide long non-coding RNA is filed under the name Setaria italica (foxtail millet). RNAcentral describes it as "long non-coding RNA (SITA_LNC002574)". Lineage: Eukaryota; Viridiplantae; Streptophyta; Magnoliopsida; Poales; Poaceae. The record is from RNAcentral.